This 72-nucleotide transfer RNA is filed under the name Camelus bactrianus (Bactrian camel). It matches the Rfam family "tRNA". Rfam says of the family: Transfer RNA (tRNA) molecules are approximately 80 nucleotides in length. Their secondary structure includes four short double-helical elements and three loops (D, anti-codon, and T loops). Further hydrogen bonds mediate the characteristic L-shaped molecular structure. tRNAs have two regions of fundamental functional importance: the anti-codon, which is responsible for specific mRNA codon recognition, and the 3' end, to which the tRNAs corresponding amino acid is attached (by aminoacyl-tRNA synthetases). tRNAs cope with the degeneracy of the genetic code in two manners: having more than one tRNA (with a specific anti-codon) for a particular amino acid; and 'wobble' base-pairing, i.e. permitting non-standard base-pairing at the 3rd anti-codon position. RNAcentral also lists the same sequence under 1 other name. The record is from Rfam by way of RNAcentral. Lineage: Eukaryota; Metazoa; Chordata; Mammalia; Artiodactyla; Camelidae.
GAGGGCAUAGCUCAGUGGUAGAGCGCAUGCUUAGCAUGCACAAGGUCUUGGGUUCAAUCCCCAAUACCUCCG